UCCUACUGCUCAUCAGGAGCGCCGUGGAGGCGUGCGCCCCGUCCAUGGCCGCGGAUGACCACGCGGCAUCCAUCCCGUGGCCCCCUGAUGCAGAUAAGGUCGCCCUCGUCCCCCUGUGAACCCUAGCCGCCCACUUCAUCUCCACCUCGCGUCGCUCUCUUCUCCUCGCGUGCGCCCGAAGCACCGUCGCCACUAGCUGCUGCAUCGCCGUGGCCACCGACCUCCCCGUCGGCCAAGACUUCGCCAGGAGCUCCGCCCGCUUCCUCUGCUUCGUCUACAAGGGCCAGAUCGAGCCCAUCCUCGAUGCAUCGCCGGACCGCGCCAAUCCCCUCCGUCAGCGUUCGCCUCGGCCACGGCUUCGAUCCACCGUCGUUCGAACCUCCCGGAACCACCUGCUCUCGCCGUUGCCACCACUAUGUCGGAGCCCAGGAGCCAGAUGCCACCGCCGAUGCCUACUACUAGGUGGAGACCGACGAUGACCAGGUGUAGUUAGGAGGCUCCCAGGCAAGAGGCCUUGCCUUUUCGUUCGUAGAUGCUUUUGUGCUAGCCUUCUUAAGGCAAACUUGUCUAACUCAUGUCUGUACUCAGAUAUUGUUGCUUC
Triticum dicoccoides is the source of this 601-nucleotide long non-coding RNA. RefSeq lists it as uncharacterized. The record is from RefSeq and is a predicted model, not a curated record. Lineage: Eukaryota; Viridiplantae; Streptophyta; Magnoliopsida; Poales; Poaceae. The transcript has 2 exons.